ACAUCUCUUGUAAACCACGUGCCAAUCAGUCUCAUCUCCCCUUCGCUUCCAUCUCCCUCUCUCUCUUUCCUUCCAAUUCUCUCUGGUUUGCUCGACCCUCUUCCCUCACCUCAAUCCGCUCCACUUCUCGCUGGAGCUUCGCCAGACCGGGUCUCUUCAUAAGACGGAGUAGUGGAGCUAUAUUGAUUACAGAGUAGUGGAGCAAAAAGAGAUCUUGAAGGGUUUAGCUCAGAUGGUUAUAUUGAUGGGAAUAUUGCAUUGUUGCUGGGAAGAAGGCUCUUGAACGUUCUUGUGGUGAGGAAGGAGAGAGAUGAAGAUAUUGUGCUCGUUGGGCCUCCUGUUUUCAGCUUUUGUACAAAGCAAGUGGUAGAGAACACAAUAACCUUGUUACGGGAUGAUGAUUGCAGAACUCGGAUGGCAAUGGUGGUAGAGCGUAUGUUGGCAAAGCUCAAGAUGUGAUGGCUACUGUUUUGGCCAAAGGUUAGUAGCAGAACAUAAAUUUGUUUUAGGGUCUCUUAAUUACUUGUCAUACAAGUUUCUAUAUAUCACUACAUUUACAAAUCAAAAUUAUUUUACUAAGAUAC
Molecule: long non-coding RNA, 584 nt
Organism: Raphanus sativus (radish)
Lineage: Eukaryota; Viridiplantae; Streptophyta; Magnoliopsida; Brassicales; Brassicaceae
Exons: 3
Source: RefSeq, a predicted model, not a curated record